This 232-nucleotide unclassified non-coding RNA is filed under the name Hevea brasiliensis (rubber tree). Lineage: Eukaryota; Viridiplantae; Streptophyta; Magnoliopsida; Malpighiales; Euphorbiaceae. The record is from RNAcentral.
CUUUCCUUGUCAACGGCACUAGCAGCAACAAUGAUCUUUUCAACAUUAUGACCAGCAAUUGCAGUUGAAUAAACAAUAGGAGCCCAAUGAAGAAUACGAAGCUUCUCCCUGACAUCUUCUUCAUAGUGUAUUGCAGUUUGCUGGUUUUUAUUGGGUAUUGUAUCCCAUUUGUUUACAACAAUCAGGCAGCCCUUCCCUUCUUUUUCAAUCCUUUCAGCAAUUCUACAAUCCU